GGGGGGUCCGGAUGUAAACACGUGAGCAACCUGCCCCUGACUCUGGGAUAAGCGCUGGAAACGGCGUCUAAUACUGGAUAUGUGACGUGACCGCAUGGUCUGCGUCUGAAAGAAUUUCGGUUGGGGAUGGGCUCGCGGCCUAUCAGCUUGUUGGUGAGGUAAUGGCUCACCAAGGCGUCGACGGGUAGCCGGCCUGAGAGGGUGACCGGCCACACUGGGACUGAGACACGGCCCGACUCCUACGGGAGGCAGCAGUGGGGAAUAUUGCACAAUGGGCGCAAGCCUGAUGCAGCAACGCCGCGUGAGGGACGACGGCCUUCGGGUUGUAAACCUCUUUUAGCAGGGAAGAAGCGAAAGUGACGUACCUGCAGAAAAAGCGCCGGCUAACUACGUGCCAGCAGCCGCGGUAAUACGUAGGGCGCAAGCGUUAUCCGGAAUUAUUGGGCGUAAAGAGCUCGUAGGCGGUUUGUCGCGUCUGCUGUGAAAUCGGAGGCUCAACCUCCGGCCUGCAGUGGGUACGGGCAGACUAGAGUGCGGUAGGGGAGAUUGGAAUUCCUGGUGUAGCGGUGGAAUGCGCAGAUAUCAGGAGGAACACCGAUGGCGAAGGCAGAUCUCGGGCCGUAACUGACGCUGAGGAGCGAAAGGGUGGGGAGCAAACAGGCUUAGAUACCCUGGUAGUCCACCCCGUAAACGUUGGGAACUAGUUGUGGGGUCCAUUCCACGGAUUCCGUGACGCAGCUAAGCAUUAAGUUCCCCGCCUGGGGAGUACGGCCGCAAGGCUAAAACUCAAAGGAAUUGACGGGGACCCGCACAAGCGGCGGAGCAUGCGGAUUAAUUCGAUGCAACGCGAAGAACCUUACCAAGGCUUGCAUAUACGAGAACGGGCCAGAAAUGGUCAACUCUUUGGACACUCGUAAACAGGUGGUGCAUGGUUGUCGUCAGCUCGUGUCGUGAGAUGUUGGGUUAAGUCCCGCAACGAGCGCAACCCUCGUUCUAGUUGCCAGCACGUAAUGGUGGGAACUCAUGGGAUACUGCCGGGGUCAACUCGGAAGAAGGUGGGGAUGACGUCAAAUCAUCAUGCCCCUUAUGUCUUGGGCUCCACGCAUGCUACAAUUGUCGUUACAAGGCUUGCAAUACCCGCGGAGGUGGAGCGAAUUCCAAAAGGCCGCUCGAAGUUCGGAGUGAGGUCUGCCACUCGACCUCAUGAAGUCGGAGUCGCUAGUAAUCGCAGAUCAGCAACGCUGCGGUGAUACGUUCCCGGGUCUUGUACACACCGCCCGUCAAGUCAUGAAAGUCGGUAACACCUGAAGCCGGUGGCCUAACCCUUGUUGGAAGGGAAUCCCCUGUUCCCC
RNAcentral lists this ribosomal RNA (1352 nucleotides) under Microbacterium oxydans. RNAcentral's name for it is "bacterial SSU rRNA". It matches the Rfam family "Bacterial small subunit ribosomal RNA", at positions 95 to 1469 of the family's 1533-position model. The record is from RNAcentral. Lineage: Bacteria; Bacillati; Actinomycetota; Actinomycetes; Micrococcales; Microbacteriaceae.